UUUAGGGUUCCGUAGCCAAAUGGCAAAAAACGGAACCCUUAUGGAUUCGUCAUGUCUGUCUGUCUGUCUGUCUGACUGUCUGUCCGUAUGUCACAGCCACUUUUUUCCGAAACUAUAAGAACUAUACUGUUGAAACUUGGUAAGUAGAUGUAUUCUGUGAACCGCAUUAGGAUUUUUACACAUAAAUAGAAAAAAAACAAUUGGUGAUUGGGUUCCCCAUACUUAGAACUGAAAAUCAUUUUUUUUUUCAUCAACCCCAUACGUGUGGGAUAUCUAUGGAUUUGGAUAGGUCUUCAAAAAUGAUAUAUUGAGGUUUCUAAUAUAAUUUUUUUCUAAACUGAAUAGUUUGCGCGAGAGACACUUCCAAAGUGGUAAAAUGUGUGUCCCCCCCCCCCCCCUGUAACUUCUAAAAUAAGAGAA
Molecule: long non-coding RNA, 420 nt
Organism: Cydia splendana
Lineage: Eukaryota; Metazoa; Arthropoda; Insecta; Lepidoptera; Tortricidae
Exons: 2
Source: RefSeq, a predicted model, not a curated record